RNAcentral lists this ribosomal RNA (478 nucleotides) under uncultured bacterium. RNAcentral's name for it is "bacterial SSU rRNA". It matches the Rfam family "Bacterial small subunit ribosomal RNA", at positions 9 to 524 of the family's 1533-position model. The record is from RNAcentral.
GAGUUUGAUCUUGGCUCAGGAUAAAUGCUGGCGGCGUGCCUAAUACAUGCAAGUCGAGCGGUAAGGCUACUUCGGUAGUACACGAGCGGCGGACGGCUUAGUAACGCGUAGGAACGUACCCCAAACUGAGGGAUAAUUCACCGAAAGGUGGACUAAUACCGCAUGUGCUCUUCGGAGUAAAGCUACGGCGGUUUGGGAACGGCCUGCGUCCGAUUAGCUAGUUGGUGAGGUAAUGGCUCACCAAGGCGACGAUCGGUAGCUGGUCUGAGAGGAUGAUCAGCAAGACUGGGACUGAGAACGGCCCAGACUCCUACGGGAGGCAGCAGUAGGGAAUUUUCCACAAUGGACGAAAGUCUGAUGGAGCAACGCCGCGUGCAGGAUGAAGGCUUUCGGGUCGUAAACUGCUUUUAUCUGUGAUGAAUUUGACAGUAGCAGAAGAAUAAGGAUCGGCUAACUACGUGCCAGCCGCCGCCGUAAC